Molecule: long non-coding RNA, 1628 nt
Organism: Ipomoea nil (Japanese morning glory)
Lineage: Eukaryota; Viridiplantae; Streptophyta; Magnoliopsida; Solanales; Convolvulaceae
Exons: 3
Source: RefSeq, a predicted model, not a curated record
UGCUUCUUUCUUGUCCUGCAUUCAGAUUCAUACAUCUAACAGUAUAUGUAAUAAACAUAGUGUAAUGAAUGUUUACCAAAAAUCAUAGGUAAAAAACAAAGGUAAAUAGUCUAAUCAUAGAUCUCAAUAACAUGAAAUUGUUCAGGACAAACACAGUCCAAUUUAACAUGGCAAAUGAUCAUUUUAAAAAUAUUAAAAAAAAAAAACCACAAUAAUGUGGUAAUAGUUUGUAGUAUCCCAGAACAGCUCAGAUUUUUUCUUGUUUAACCACCACAGUUUUUCCCUUCUUGCUAGAGGAUGAAAACUGGUCCAUAAGCGAUCGCUUCACACCAUCUGCCUCUGAAUGAUCAUUGUCUAGGCUUUGAGACUGAUGUAGAUUUAAUGGACUGUUGACCUCAUUGUCUCCAUUUGAAGCUUCCUGCAUAUUAAAAUAAAGUUUAGUCUAAAACCUGUCAACCAUAAGAUUAAAACUGUACAACUUUAUUUGACUUUAUAAAAUAAUCAAAACCUGAUCCGAGUCCUCCUCUUCCUCCUCGUCCUCAUCUAACAUUUUUGAUAUCAAGUCCUUGUCUUGGUCUUCAAUCAGUUUAGAACAGUAUGCUGACACUAAGGCUUCAUCCCUUAGAACUUUCAUAACAGUGUACGCUGAAUUAGCUCCCUUCAUGAACUCCAUUUUUAAUGAUAUCCUAAAUACCAUUCUCAUACCCACUAAUGUUUCCAAUUCUUUUGGAAUGUCAGAAACCUAACAAAAAAAAAUAACAUACAUUCUAGUAAGAAAUAUCAUCUCAUACUCUGUAUGUACGUGUUUAGUUUAGAAGAAAUUUAAUUUUACCUUAUUAUACUUUGUGUACAAACUGUGUGCUGGGAUACCAACUAAUUCAGAACACUCCCUAUCCCAUAAUAGGAAGGGAGCAUCAUCUAGACCUUUAUCUAGAACAAUAACUCUGACCCGAUACCUUGCCAUUCCUUCUUUAUAUUUCUUAUCACAAUUGGUACAAAUCAGUUCACCUGAUUCGUCUGAAAGUUUUCUGUUACAUCCCGGUGACAUGCAAGAAAUGUACAUCCAUCCGAAAGAACCUUCAAUUGCAACAAUUUCAGCAGAUUAGAUACUGUAGUUACAGUCAAAGCACCCCUGGUAAAGUCAUCUAGGCCUGCUGAUUGAGACAGCACUGUUGCUGUACUUAUACUGCGCAAAGGACUGUUUGGAGCAGUUAACCUACAGGUGAUACGAACUGAAGAUAAGGUGGAGUGGGGAGUGGAUGUCUCCAUAGUCAUAUGCUUAUAUACAAUGUAAUACUGCAUUUCAAAAUCUAUGAUGUUAUCUUGGAAGUAUGAAUGCUGCGGACAACCUUUCAGUUUUCAAGAGCAUGGUGAUCAGACUUGAGUCUCUUUAUUAUGAGUGUAUUUAUAUUUAUUUAUUCGAGAUUUGAGAAGUAUGUUUUCGAAGAAGUCUUUAAUAUAAAGAGUCUCUUUAGAAGUCUGUAACUAAUAGAAGUCUAUUUAAAAUGCUUUAUUUUAGUUGGUAUUACCAAAAAAUUAGCCGGCAUAAUUUAAUUGCACGCGUUAAUCUUUAUUGAGCGCCAUUUACUGUAGACUUGAGUUUAUAUAUAUGAAGUGACGUCGUUUCA